This is an unclassified non-coding RNA of Gorilla gorilla gorilla (western lowland gorilla), 297 nucleotides long. It matches the Rfam family "Metazoan signal recognition particle RNA". From Rfam's summary of the family: The signal recognition particle (SRP) is a universally conserved ribonucleoprotein. It is involved in the co-translational targeting of proteins to membranes. The eukaryotic SRP consists of a 300-nucleotide 7S RNA and six proteins: SRPs 72, 68, 54, 19, 14, and 9. The record is from Ensembl. Lineage: Eukaryota; Metazoa; Chordata; Mammalia; Primates; Hominidae.
GACAGGCAGUGGCUGACACCUGUAAUACCAGCUACUCAGGAGGCUGAGGCAGGAGGAUUGCUUGAGUCCAGAAGUUCUAAGCUGUGGUACACUACACAGAUCAGGGGUCCACACUAAGUUUGGCAUCCAUAUGGUGACCUCGCGGGAUCAAGGGACUGCCAGGUUGCCUAGGGAGGGGUGAACCAGCCCAGAUUGGAAAUGGAGCAAGUCUAAACACCCAUGAUGAUCAGUAGCGGGAUCACUCCUGUGAAUAGCCACUGCACUCCAGCCUGGGCAAGAUAGUGAGGCCCUGUCUCU